This 253-nucleotide ribosomal RNA is filed under the name uncultured bacterium. Its description in RNAcentral is "partial 16S ribosomal RNA". It matches the Rfam family "Bacterial small subunit ribosomal RNA", at positions 524 to 776 of the family's 1533-position model. The record is from RNAcentral.
UACGGAGGGUGCAAGCGUUGCUCGGAAUUAUUGGGCGUAAAGGGCAGGUAGGUGGUCUCAUUUGUCUGGGGUGAAAGCCUUGGGCUUAACUCAAGAAGUGCCCCAGAAACGGUGAGACUAGAGUCUUGGAGAGGGUCGCGGAAUUCCCGGUGUAGCGGUGAAAUGCGUAGAGAUCGGGAGGAACACCAGAGGCGAAGGCGGCGACCUGGACAAGGACUGACACUCAACUGCGAAAGCGUGGGGAGCAAACAGG